UUUUAUUUAAAUAUACAUGUUUUGUAUUUGAUAUCCUGGUUCGAUUUAUGAUUUUUACUCUCUUUGGGAGAUGGUGGAAUUCAUUGUAUAUGGCUGGUCUUUCGGGUUUCAUCCCUCUGUGUCAAAUCGGGAAGCGAUAGGCAUGGCCUCUUCUUUCUUUACUUGAGGACCAUCACGGUGGGUAUGGGAGAAGGGAUGUAAGAGUUUGGAGUCUCAGUCCACUGGUGGGAUUCUUGUGUAAGUCGCCCUUCCAAAAUAUGAGUGACCCUUUCCUUCUCCUAGGAAGGUAGAGGAAGAUCUGGACCGUACUCUCUGUCAUCUUGAGUUUGCGAGCUUCUUUUGGGACUUUUCUAUCCAGAUGUUUGGUUUUUUGUAUGGGCAGUUCAUUGACAACGUGAUUGGGAAGUUCAACUUUCUCUUCAGGAGAAUGGUCAACUUUUAUGGCAUGUUGAGUUGUGUGUGAUCUUCUAAGUUUUGUGAGGGGGAGUGGAAUAGUAGGAUGUUUAGAGGUGGAAAGAAACCCUAGUGAGGAUAUUUAUAUAUGGACUUCAAUUUCGAAAACCUUUUGUAAUUAUUCUAUAGACACUAUUUUGCAUAAUUGGAGUCCCUUUCUAUGAAGGAUC
This is a long non-coding RNA of Cucumis melo (muskmelon), 623 nucleotides long. RefSeq lists it as uncharacterized. The transcript is spliced from 2 exons. The record is from RefSeq and is a predicted model, not a curated record. Lineage: Eukaryota; Viridiplantae; Streptophyta; Magnoliopsida; Cucurbitales; Cucurbitaceae.